Beta vulgaris subsp. vulgaris (sugar beet) is the source of this 210-nucleotide long non-coding RNA. RefSeq lists it as uncharacterized. The transcript has 3 exons. NCBI's taxonomy places the organism in Eukaryota, Viridiplantae, Streptophyta, Magnoliopsida, Caryophyllales, Amaranthaceae. The record is from RefSeq and is a predicted model, not a curated record.
CACUUGAUCUUGAUGCCUGAAAACCCUGAUUUCGUGGAAAUGUUGGUGCAGCAGUAGCAACAGAAGAUCUAAAGAUAAGCCUAAUUCUUGCUUUCUCUCUCCUUGUUUUCAGAUCUAAAGGAAAUUCAUUAUAGUGGAUCAACUAGGUUACAUUAGAACUUUCGAUAUAAGGGGAUACAUCAGGUCAAUUAGAACUCUUUUUGGAUCUCC